RNAcentral lists this transfer RNA (68 nucleotides) under Fukomys damarensis (Damara mole-rat). It matches the Rfam family "tRNA". Rfam says of the family: Transfer RNA (tRNA) molecules are approximately 80 nucleotides in length. The record is from Rfam by way of RNAcentral. Lineage: Eukaryota; Metazoa; Chordata; Mammalia; Rodentia; Bathyergidae.
GGGGUACAGCUCAGUGGUAGAGCACAUGCUUAAUAUGCAUGAGGCCCUGGGUUCAAUCUCCAGCCCCA